This 460-nucleotide ribosomal RNA is filed under the name uncultured bacterium. RNAcentral's name for it is "partial 16S ribosomal RNA". It matches the Rfam family "Bacterial small subunit ribosomal RNA", at positions 338 to 795 of the family's 1533-position model. The record is from RNAcentral.
CCUACGGGUGGCAGCAGUGAGGAAUAUUGGUCAAUGGACGAGAGUCUGAACCAGCCAAGUAGCGUGAAGGAUGACUGCCCUAUGGGUUGUAAACUUCUUUUAUAUGGGAAUAAAAUGUUCCACGUGUGGGCUUUUGUAUGUACCACAUGAAUAAGGAUCGGCUAACUCCGUGCCAGCAGCCGCGGUAAUACGGAGGAUCCGAGCGUUAUCCGGAUUUAUUGGGGUUAAAGGGAGCGUAGGUGGAUUGUUAAGUCAGUUGUGAAAGUUUGCGGCUCAACCGUAAAAUUGCAGUUGAAACUGGCAGUCUUGAGUACAGUAGAGGUGGGCGGAAUGCGUGGUGUAGCGGUGAAAUGCUUAGAUAUCACGAAGAACUCCGAUUGCGAAGGCAGCUCACUGGACUGCAACUGACACUGAGGCUCGAAAGUGUGGGUAUCAAACAGGAUUAGAUACCCUAGUAGUC